AUACUUACUGGCAAGGGAGAUAUCAUGAUCAUGAACGUGGUUUUUCCAGAGUUAGGCUCAUCCAUUGCAAUCCAGAUGUGCUGACUCCUGUGAUUUCCCCAAACGCGGGAAACUCAACUGCAUAAUUUGUGGUGCAUGUGUAUUGCCUUUUAACUUCCAUUAU
This is a small nuclear RNA of Sceloporus undulatus (fence lizard), 163 nucleotides long. RefSeq annotates it as U1 spliceosomal RNA. The record is from RefSeq and is a predicted model, not a curated record. NCBI's taxonomy places the organism in Eukaryota, Metazoa, Chordata, Lepidosauria, Squamata, Phrynosomatidae. The transcript has a single exon.